Molecule: long non-coding RNA, 1265 nt
Filed under: Apteryx owenii (little spotted kiwi)
Lineage: Eukaryota; Metazoa; Chordata; Aves; Apterygiformes; Apterygidae
Description: lncRNA (ENSAOWG00000011990.1)
Source: RNAcentral
CUCGCCUCCAUGUGCUUUUAUGGAUAGUGCUGUUCCAUCUGCGUCUCCUGCGGCAGGAGGCUCCCUGUCGCGGCAGCCGGCCGGGCACGGGUGCCUGCUACCCCGCAUGGGAAGCGGAGGCGGAAAUCCAAGAGAAACGAGCCCGACGGCCGUGCAGGAUGCAAUGGAAACCCCGGUCUGCAGCGGAUGCUCUCCGAAGCGAAAGGGAGGCGCCAGCAAGUUGGCGGAUGUGGCCUCUGUGCCGAGUGAGGGGGCUUUUCCUUGAGAAGGGAGGAAGUUGCAUGCUUCAUACCAACCUCGCGUUUCCGUCAAAGGUUUAAACACGGCCUUAGGUGCCRCAGUUUGUGUUGGCAUCCGGAAUAUUUUGGUUGGGAGGAGGUGGGGCUGAGUUUAACAUCAGUGCUCUUUUUAGAGGGGGGGGAAAAAAACACACACGUAUUUUCAGCUUUUUCAUGGUUGUUUUUCAUUCGCUGUAUAUCAAGGUGAGAAGAAAGCAAGCAGUGUUUCAGGUGUCUGCUUUUAUGGAAAUCCUGAAGCGGCCCUCAGAAACUGUCGGAAUCAGCCUGAAAGGAUCAUGUGAUUUUUUUAUAUAUUUUUUUUUUAAGUUUUUUUUUUUUUUUCUUCUGGGGUGUUGGUGCAAUUAGAGAUCUUCCUUGGUGAAGGCUGAGCAUCUGGGGCACGUGUACCUAUGGGGCUCAGGCUUCAAGAAAAACACCUAAUACUAAAAGUUUUUGCAGUGAAGUUACGUGGGCCUGACCAUGCAGCCUGCUCCGCAGCGUGCUGUCGGUUGAGCCAGCAGUGUCAUUAACUGUGUUUUCAUAAACAGCUGUUCAUUGAGCUAGAAGUUGCACAGCUAAGCCCAAAGACUUCUGUUUUAUAGCCUCCCCCUCCUUUUUUUUUUUUUUUUUAUUUUUUUUGGUAUCCUUCUCACUUCUGUGAGGCUUCUAUUUUCAGUGUUGUGCGUUUGUCUCAAAAAAAAAACCAAACAAUUUUCCAUCCCAGAUGUCCUGCAGGGCUCAGCCACAUUAAUGUCUGCUUUGCUUUUUAGUUAAUGAUGUCUCAUUUGGGCCUGGUAACGUAACUUGUCCGCUUGCUGGUAAGAGUGGCCAUUAACUCGGGAGAGAGUUGUGCCCUACCAGCAAGGUACAAAACACAGGUUUGUUCUUGGAGCAGUAAAAGCUUUAACUAUAUCUUUCUUGUAUCUUAUGCCGUAGAAAUGGGCAAAUGCUGGUAAGACGUGGAGGCGAGUUUGUUCUUUCCUGUGC